AACGAACGCUGGCGGCAGGCUUAACACAUGCAAGUCGAACGAUGUAGCAAUACAUAGUGGCGCACGGGUGAGUAACACGUGGGAACAUGCCCUUCAGUUCAGAAUAACUACUGGAAACGGUAGCUAAUACUGAAUAUUCCCUCCGGGGGAAAGAUUUAUCGCUGAAGGAUUGGCCCGCGUUAGAUUAGGUAGUUGGUGGG
RNAcentral lists this ribosomal RNA (200 nucleotides) under uncultured bacterium. RNAcentral's name for it is "partial 16S ribosomal RNA". It matches the Rfam family "Bacterial small subunit ribosomal RNA", at positions 29 to 256 of the family's 1533-position model. The record is from RNAcentral.